Molecule: microRNA precursor, 188 nt
Filed under: Olea europaea subsp. europaea
Lineage: Eukaryota; Viridiplantae; Streptophyta; Magnoliopsida; Lamiales; Oleaceae
Source: RNAcentral
GAAAAUUCAUAUUCAAAUGUGCUCAUAAAUUUGCCAUUUUCUGUUUUUUUUUUUUUAGUUUGAUGUUGCACUACUGGAGAAAUAAUCUCAAAAAAAAAAAAAGAACAAUUCAAUAAUGUAUUGGCAACAUCAAACUAAAACAAAAAUGAAAUAGGCAAAUUUGUGGGCACAUUUGAAUUUGAUUUUUU